Molecule: microRNA precursor, 206 nt
Organism: Oryza rufipogon (brownbeard rice)
Lineage: Eukaryota; Viridiplantae; Streptophyta; Magnoliopsida; Poales; Poaceae
Rfam family: MIR812 microRNA precursor family
Source: Rfam
AAAAAGGCAAACCCUGGGUUUUCGUGUCCAACUUUGACUGUCCGUCUUAUAUGAAAUUUUUUUAUAAUUCGUAUUUUCAUUGUUGUUAGAUGAUAAAACAUGAUUAAUAUUUUAUGCGUGACUUGUCUUUUUAAUUUUUUUUAUAGUUUUUUCAAAUAAGACGGGCGGUCAAAUGUUGGGCACGGAAACUAAAGUUUGUCUUUUUU